UACGUAGGUGACCAGCGUUGUCCGGAUUUACUGGGCGUAAAGAGCGCGCAGGCGGUCGUUCAAGUCGAGUGUGAAAGCCCCGGCUCAACUGGGGAGGGUCAUUCGAUACUGAUCGACUGGAAGGCAGGAGAGGGAAGCGGAAUUCCCGGUGUAGUGGUGAAAUGCGUAGAUAUCGGGAGGAACACCAGUGGCGAAGGCGGCUUCCUGGCCUGUUCUUGACGCUGAGGCGCGAAAGCUAGGGGAGCAAACGGG
Molecule: ribosomal RNA, 252 nt
Filed under: uncultured bacterium
Lineage: Bacteria
Description: partial 16S ribosomal RNA
Rfam family: Bacterial small subunit ribosomal RNA
Source: RNAcentral